GUGCUUGUUGCUUCAGCAGCACAUAUACUAAAAAGUCAGACCCAUGCAAAGAUUGGCAUGACCCCUGGGCAAGGAUGACGUGCAUAUUUGUGAAGUGAUCCAUAUUUUU
Small nuclear RNA from Ictidomys tridecemlineatus (thirteen-lined ground squirrel), 109 nucleotides. NCBI's taxonomy places the organism in Eukaryota, Metazoa, Chordata, Mammalia, Rodentia, Sciuridae. The record is from Ensembl.